GGAUCAAUGCCUCGUUUUAAAGCAUGACCCCUUAUCCUGGGUACCGUUGACAUUAGAGCCAGACAAUUGUUUGUUAUUAGUAGCUGUCCUGAGCAUCUGUUUAGCAGCACCUCUGGCCUCUACCCACUAGAAGACAGUAGUGCCUACCCCAACCCAAGUUGUGACAACCAAAUAUGUCUCCAGAAAUUGCCAAAUGUCUCCUGGGUUACAAAAUUCUCCCAGUUGAGAAGCACUAUUCUGAAGGCUGCAUCUGUUAGUAGUUCAGUGGUAAUGUGGGUGGUGAUGAAUCCAUGUUUUUAUUGUUAUAAGGCAGAAAUCCACAUUGUCCCAAAGAUAAUUGAAUCUUGAUAGUCAAAUUUGAAAUUCACCAGUCUACAAGAUAUCUGCUAAAGAAACCAUACCUUGUCCUAGAAGGGAGAUUUUUACUCUUCUUCUUCUCUCUUUUCCCUUUUAUUUCUUGUUUGCUCACUUAUCUUUUGUUUUAAUUUCACAUCUAGGCUAAUAGACAGGGCCAAUUCGUAGACAUUCUCUUACACAAAUUUUGGUUUGAAAUAAUAAAAUCUAGCUAUGAAAAAUGUAACUAAUAUUGGAGAUAUUUACCUAAAGGAAAGAUGUGUAAGUAGAAUCUAGAAAUGCAAGAAUAAUAGCUUUAAAAAACUUAAAGAACUAAAGAUGGAUAUAGAUUUGUUGAUAUUUUUAAUGCAUUGAAAAUCAAAAUUCAUAGUUAUUUCAGAAAUUCUGAAUUUGGCAGUAUUGGCCUCUUUUUACUCUGUUACUCUUAUCCCUAUAAUAGUAACACCUCAAGUUCAGUUCCAUUUAAAAGAGAUGGAAUAUUAAAAUAAGCGGAGGAAAAUGAAGACAGCCAAUUUAAUUAGGAAGUUUAAAGGCAAGAAACAAAAGGAAGGAAGGCAAACAGGGCAGAAGAUGAGAAAAAGAGGAUGCAAAAUGGAAAUAAAGUAGUUGAGAAGAUUUCUGAAACAUAUGGCAUAUGUUUAUUUUGAUGAUUUUAUCCUGGGUUUGCAUUCUCUGUUAAUCACACUUUCCACUCUUUAGUUCUCCUUCAGUUCUGCUGCCUACCUAACCUCUGAAUGUAUUGUAGAAUUCUUGUGCAAGUUUCGUAUUUGUUAUCUUACUUAUGUGCAUAGCAACUUCCUGCUCAAGUCAAGUUUUCCAUUUGUAGCUGGGUAUUAUGUGGCAGAGGGUGGACCAAAUAAGCAAAUAAUUCUCUGAGAUUCCCUGAUGGUGUCUCCUAUUUCUGAGCCUUCUAUACAGAACCCAUGCUAUGGGGAAGGUAAAGGGACGUAAAGUCUGAGGUGAAAAUUUUGUUAUAAUACUUCUCUCUGUUUUAGUUAAUAUUCUGAAUAACCUAAUUUAAGGUCUCAAAGAACUCUGGACUUGGAAUCAAAAUGCUUGGUCCUUAAAUUCUAUUUCUUGGAAUCUACACUAAAAAUAAGAAAAAUAAAACAAGUCCUAUGAAUAAAGACAACCAAAGCAAUAUUAUUUAUAAAGGAACAGAAUUGGAAGAAACCUACAUUUUCAAUCAUAAGGAAAUGGAUAAUCAAAUGAUGGUAGACAUAUACCAUGCAGCCAUUAAAAAUACUGGUAGUCACAUCUAAAAUUAAGUAACACAAUUUUAAUAGAACAAAGCAAGAUAUGUUAUACCACAGUAUAAUAAAAAGUAUAUAAAUAAAAGCAUUUAUUUAAAAUGAAAUUACAAGUUUGAUGGCAACACUUUUGCUAGGUAACGUUACUGUGGGUACCACUUACCCUUUCAACUUUCCUAUAUUUUCAAGAUUUUUAAAAUAAAAGCAAAGCAAAAUAAAAGUAACUAAAUAAAAGAUUAAUGACCAGCAAAGAAAAAUAAUUCUGAGUUUACAAAACACUAACUGCAGGAAAAAGUGUGUAAGACCUAUUAGAAACUUUUACAAUUGAGCUGGAUGAAGGAGGGAGAACAAAAGUUGUGUAGAAAUAAAAGUUGUGUAGAAACAAAAAUAUGUACAAAUAUUUAAAAUGCAGUUAAUGGGUUCUGAGAAGGAUAAUGAGUUAGUUGGGAAGAAAGAUAAAAACAAGUGUGUUUUUCAGAGGAAAAAAAUUAUUUUUUACCCAAACACAUUUCUACAUUAUUCAAAUUUAAUGUUCUACUACCAGAUAUUGAAUACUUUAUUAUCUGGGCAGACAGAGAAGAGGAUAAAAGGGUUUUAUUUUUCUUUGCUUCCUUCACUCCGUUUGGCUAUUGCUGUUGACCUCACGUCUGGAGAGAUUCACACUUCAAGAAAGAUAUUAAGAUUUCAUAAAUGAAAUUAAAUAAAUACAUAUUCAUAAAAUUUAGAGAAUUAUCUGCCACAGAAUAAGUGUUAUUCAAACCUUUGUUAUAUAAAUACUCUACUUUUGAGUAGCCUAACAGAUUGCAUAAACCAUCCUUAAAAAUCAACUCCUUAGGACUAAGUACCAGAAAGUAAUUUGUAAAUAUUAUACUUUGCCUAAUGCUUUACAACAAUCACAAAAUUAAAAGGAUACACAGCAAAUUACUUUUAAAAUUUUUCUUUCAUUAGACUCAGAAAAAUGAAAAUGGGUAUAUUCCAAUUUGCAUUUUUUAAGAUGAACAGGCACACUAUCUUUAAAGCUACUGUAAAUUACCAGCUUAAUAAUGACAAAGAAUGUGUAUAGCUAUUUAUUCUUGUGUUCAGUAAAAAAAAUAUAGUAACCAUGGCAACUACCAAAUCUCAUAGUAUGUAUGCUACCUCUAUGAUCACUUUUUAUAAUAAAGACAUGAGUAAUAUAUCAUCUAGGUUCUGGUAUUAAAUGUGUUGAAAUGCCUUCAAACAUACCCAUUGCUGAUAUACAUAUUUACCAUGUUUAAUUCCCUUAGCUCUGACAUCAACUAUACCUUCAAUUUUAACAUUUUUGCAUUUUAGCUAUAGUCUGAAUAUAUAACCAUGUGUAUUAAAUCUGAAAAUUGUAAAAUUAGAAUCAACAUCCCAAAUUUCUCAAUGACUGACAAUUGACUUUCCCUGAGCUCUACAGAAAUACAUAAGACGUAAUUUUUCCUUAAAGAAUGUGAAAUUGAGUUCCAAUUUUUUGUAAAAAUUUUUUUCUAUUAGAAAACAUACUGUUUAUACUUUCAUAAAUUAAAAAUAAACAAGUUUGUAUUAGAA
RNAcentral lists this long non-coding RNA (3155 nucleotides) under Homo sapiens (human). Its description in RNAcentral is "HSALNT0209011". Lineage: Eukaryota; Metazoa; Chordata; Mammalia; Primates; Hominidae. The record is from RNAcentral.